GAUGAACGCUGGCGGCGUGCCUAAUACAUGCAAGUCGAGCGAACGGACGAGAAGCUUGCUUCUCUGAUGUUAGCGGCGGACGGGUGAGUAACACGUGGAUAACCUACCUAUAAGACUGGGAUAACUUCGGGAAACCGGAUCUAAUACCGGAUAAUAUUUUGAACCGCAUGGUUCAAAAGUGAAAGACGGUCUUGCUGUCACUUAUAGAUGGAUCCGCGCUGCAUUAGCUAGUUGGUAAGGUAACGGCUUACCAAGGCAACGAUGCAUAGCCGACCUGAGAGGGUGAUCGGCCACACUGGAACUGAGACACGGUCCAGACUCCUACGGGAGGCAGCAGUAGGGAAUCUUCCGCAAUGGGCGAAAGCCUGACGGAGCAACGCCGCGUGAGUGAUGAAGGUCUUCGGAUCGUAAAACUCUGUUAUUAGGGAAGAACAUAUGUGUAAGUAACUGUGCACAUCUUGACGGUACCUACUCAGAAAGCCACGGCUAACUACGUG
This 497-nucleotide ribosomal RNA is filed under the name uncultured bacterium. RNAcentral's name for it is "partial 16S ribosomal RNA". It matches the Rfam family "Bacterial small subunit ribosomal RNA", at positions 28 to 507 of the family's 1533-position model. The record is from RNAcentral.